GUAUUUAGCUUUCCAGACACUGUUCUUAGAGUGUGCAGAUGGAUAGGUGGGCAGGCGGGCAGAAGAGGGGAUGGUGGAGGGAUGGAUGGUGGAGGGAUAGAUGGAUGGAUGGGUGGGUGGGUGGAUGGAAGGAUGGAUGGACGGAUGGAUGGAUGGACGGAUGGAUAAGUGGAUGGAUAGGUAGGGGGGGUGGAUGGAUGGAUGGUGAGUGGAUAGAUGAGUGGACAGGUAGACAGAUGAA
This is a long non-coding RNA of Herpailurus yagouaroundi (jaguarundi), 241 nucleotides long. RefSeq lists it as uncharacterized. The record is from RefSeq and is a predicted model, not a curated record. The transcript is spliced from 2 exons. NCBI's taxonomy places the organism in Eukaryota, Metazoa, Chordata, Mammalia, Carnivora, Felidae.